RNAcentral lists this ribosomal RNA (492 nucleotides) under uncultured bacterium. Its description in RNAcentral is "partial 16S ribosomal RNA". It matches the Rfam family "Bacterial small subunit ribosomal RNA", at positions 29 to 507 of the family's 1533-position model. The record is from RNAcentral.
AGUGAACGCUGGCGGUAGGCCUAACACAUGCAAGUCGAACGGCAGCACAGUAAGAGCUUGCUCUUACGGGUGGCGAGUGGCGGACGGGUGAGGAAUACAUCGGAAUCUACUUUUUCGUGGGGGAUAACGUAGGGAAACUUACGCUAAUACCGCAUACGCCCUACGGGUGAAAGCAGGGGAUCUUCGGACCUUGCGCGAUUGAAUGAGCCGAUGUCGGAUUAGCUAGUUGGCGGGGUAAAGGCCCACCAAGGCGACGAUCCGUAGCUGGUCUGAGAGGAUGAUCAGCCACACUGGAACUGAGACACGGUCCAGACUCCUACGGGAGGCAGCAGUGGGGAAUAUUGGACAAUGGGCGCAAGCCUGAUCCAGCCAUACCGCGUGGGUGAAGAAGGCCUUCGGGUUGUAAAGCCCUUUUGUUGGGAAAGAAAAGCAGCAGGUUAAUAUCCCGCUGUUCUGACGGUACCCAAAGAAUAAGCACCGGCUAACUUCGUG